RNAcentral lists this ribosomal RNA (253 nucleotides) under uncultured bacterium. Its description in RNAcentral is "partial 16S ribosomal RNA". It matches the Rfam family "Bacterial small subunit ribosomal RNA", at positions 524 to 776 of the family's 1533-position model. The record is from RNAcentral.
UACGCAGGGGGCGAGCGUUGUCCGGAUUCAUUGGGCGUAAAGCGCGCGUAGGCGGCCGGGCAAGUCGGCCGUGAAAUCUCCCAGCUUAACUGGGAGGGGUCGGGCGAGACUGCCCCGCUAGAGGCGGGUAGAGGGCAGUGGAAUUCCGGGUGUAGUGGUGGAAUGCGUAGAGAUCCGGAGGAACACCAGUGGCGAAGGCGGCUGCCUGGGCCUGGCCUGACGCUGAGGCGCGAAAGCGUGGGGAGCGAUCCGG